Molecule: transfer RNA, 59 nt
Filed under: Plexippus paykullii
Lineage: Eukaryota; Metazoa; Arthropoda; Arachnida; Araneae; Salticidae
Description: Plexippus paykulli tRNA-Tyr
Source: RNAcentral
AACUUAUAAAUCAUAAUGAUGGUGAACUGUAAAUUCACAUUUGAUAGAACUUUUAACUU